UUUAAAUUCACUGCCCAACUGUGGAUGGGCAGUUAAUGCUAAUGAAGAGGGCAAUUGGGCACUGGACUGGUGGUCUGGUGGUACAGUAAAUCCCUACAUCUGCUGACUACUGAGAUGAGCAACUGGCUGAAUGGAGCAAGGCCUCACUGAGUUCAGUUGACACUGGCAGGAUGGAUUCUUGUACUCUUCAUUAGAAGAAUCAGAGAAAGGCAACCUGGAACAAGAACAUGAUUCUUGACUGUUAUGCUGAAGAACAAGGGAGAUAGCAUGUGAGAGCCAGAAAUUCCAGGCUGAUUCACACAGAAGACAAAGCUCUGAUGAUAGCCUAUCCUUGGUUCAUUGACAGGAUCCUCCUUACAGGAAGAACCCCUGAUCACCCACUUUCAAGAGUCAAUUCUGUACCUGUGACCAUGAUAACAUUCAGAGACCACAAGUCUAAAGUGCAGUUCUUAAAUAGGUCUGUUUUCUGGCCUUUUUAACAAGAUAAUUUGAAACACUGAUAAACAACUAAAUAAAAGAAAGUAUUCUUGUUCUGA
Non-coding RNA from Ictidomys tridecemlineatus (thirteen-lined ground squirrel), 536 nucleotides. Lineage: Eukaryota; Metazoa; Chordata; Mammalia; Rodentia; Sciuridae. The record is from RefSeq and is a predicted model, not a curated record.